UUUGAGAGGUAACUGCACGUUAAACGUUUGGACGACAUGGGGGUGAACAGCACGGGCUAAUGAUAGUAAUGAUAGAGGGAGAGAGCAUAUCUAAUGCCUGAAGAAGUGCUGUUUUCCAGUCUUGGGCAAUAAUUGUAGGUCUGAGAGCAUCCUCAGCGAAUGUGUAUUGAUCGCUCCACAUGUGGUUUAGUUGUAGCGGGGCAAACAUGAGUAAGGGAGCGAGGAGGGUAUUUGCUCCUCCGACACUCCAGCAGAAGGAUGCGAUAGUGUCACGGCGCGUGGUCGUUUAUGAUAAAAGGGAAUUCCGUAAAAGUGCUUUGGACAGCAAACUAUUACCGGCUUUCGUGCUCAUCGAAACGUUAACGACUGUCGGGAGCAAAUCACAUUUGAAAAAAGAAAAAACCGAGAAGAGAAGCGGUGCAAGAUGUUUUCGUGAAAUCAAGUUUGAGCAGAUAUUUUGGUAAGUAGCACACUUAUAAUGGGGGCAUAAUAUCAGAAAGGAUUCAGCAAAAGUAAACUGCAAUUUGUAAAAAUAAAAUUAAAUGGAUUUAAAUAGCUAUAUGUUUUGCUGUUUUCCAAGGAUGAUACAGCCCAGCGGUAAAGUCUCCAUAAUGCUGUGGAUGAAGACAAAAUCGCUUCUUCUUUUUAUUUUAACAUUGAUUUCAGCCCAGAACGCUGAACUACCUGCAGUAAUGGACAGUGACAUGCUCAGUGAAUUUGCUUACCAACCUGGGCCAUCGUACCUGAGUCUGACCCUGCUGGCUCUGACCGUGGGACUGUCUGGCAGUGUUUACCUCUGCGUGCUGCGGUACAUUUGCACCGGCUGCUGCCAGCCUGUAGUUGUUGGACCUGAAGAUGAGAGCAUGUCAGGAGUGGUGUGAUAGCAGCUUUUGUUUGAAAGCGUGUGUGUAUUCAUGACUGUGAGUUUAGUUUUUGUGCGUGAGCACUUAUGUUGGUCAUCUUGAGUAGUUUGAGCAGACGUUCAUUUUCAGCGCAAGGCUUUGCUGUAUUUAUGAAAGUUAACUAGGAAAAUUGGCACAACUUUCAAUUAUUUCCUUUAUUUUCAAACUAAAACAGCAAUGUUUCAUUCAUAAAUCUCUGAAAAUCCCUGAUUGAAUUGUUGCUGUUUUAUUUGAAAAUAAAGGGAAUAGUUGAACAGUGUGCA
Long non-coding RNA from Cyprinus carpio (common carp), 1165 nucleotides. The record is from Ensembl. NCBI's taxonomy places the organism in Eukaryota, Metazoa, Chordata, Actinopteri, Cypriniformes, Cyprinidae.